This 762-nucleotide ribosomal RNA is filed under the name Staphylococcus pseudintermedius. RNAcentral's name for it is "partial 23S ribosomal RNA". It matches the Rfam family "Bacterial large subunit ribosomal RNA", at positions 380 to 1143 of the family's 2925-position model. The record is from RNAcentral. Lineage: Bacteria; Bacillati; Bacillota; Bacilli; Caryophanales; Staphylococcaceae.
CGAAAACGAAUUCUCUCUUGAGUGGAUCCUGAGUACGACGGAGCACGUGAAAUUCCGUCGGAAUCUGGGAGGACCAUCUCCUAAGGCUAAAUACUCUCUAGUGACCGAUAGUGAACCAGUACCGUGAGGGAAAGGUGAAAAGUACCCCGGAAGGGGAGUGAAAGAGAACUUGAAACCGUGUGCUUACAAGUAGUCAGAGCCCGUUAAUGGGUGAUGGCGUGCCUUUUGUAGAAUGAACCGGCGAGUUACGAUCUGAUGCAAGGUUAAGCAGAAAAUGUGGAGCCGUAGCGAAAGCGAGUCUGAAUAGGGCGAAUGAGUAUUUGGUCGUAGACCCGAAACCAGGUGAUCUACCCUUGGUCAGGUUGAAGUUCAGGUAACACUGAAUGGAGGACCGAACCGACUUACGUUGAAAAGUGAGCGGAUGAACUGAGGGUAGCGGAGAAAUUCCAAUCGAACUUGGAGAUAGCUGGUUCUCUCCGAAAUAGCUUUAGGGCUAGCCUCAAGUGAUGAUUAUUGGAGGUAGAGCACUGUUUGGACGAGGGGCCCCUCUCGGGUUACCGAAUUCAGACAAACUCCGAAUGCCAAAUAAUUUAACUUGGGAGUCAGAAUGUGGGUGAUAAGGUCCAUAUUCGAAAGGGAAACAGCCCAGACCACCAGCUAAGGUCCCAAAAUAUAUGUUAAGUGGAAAAGGAUGUGGCGUUGCCCAGACAACUAGGAUGUUGGCUUAGAAGCAGCCAUCAUUUAAAGAGUGCGUAAUAGCUC